UGGGGAAUAUUGCACAAUGGGCGCAAGCCUGAUGCAGCCAUGCCGCGUGUGUGAAGAAGGCCUUCGGGUUGUAAAGCACUUUCAGCGAGGAGGAAGGUGGUGAGCUUAAUACGCUCAUCAAUUGACGUUACUCGCAGAAGAAGCACCGGCUAACUCCGUGCCAGCAGCCGCGGUAAUACGGAGGGUGCAAGCGUUAAUCGGAAUUACUGGGCGUAAAGCGCACGCAGGCGGUUUGUUAAGUCAGAUGUGAAAUCCCCGGGCUCAACCUGGGAACUGCAUUUGAAACUGGCAAGCUAGAGUCUCGUAGAGGGGGGUAGAAUUCCAGGUGUAGCGGUGAAAUGCGUAGAGAUCUGGAGGAAUACCGGUGGCGAAGGCGGCCCCCUGGACGAAGACUGACGCUCAGGUGCGAAAGCGUGGGGAGCAAAACAGGAUUAGAUACCCUGGUAGUCCACGCUGUAAACGAUGUCAACUAGUUGUUGGGGGAUUCAUUUUCCUUAG
Molecule: ribosomal RNA, 498 nt
Filed under: uncultured bacterium
Lineage: Bacteria
Description: partial 16S ribosomal RNA
Rfam family: Bacterial small subunit ribosomal RNA
Source: RNAcentral